Molecule: ribosomal RNA, 253 nt
Filed under: uncultured bacterium
Lineage: Bacteria
Description: partial 16S ribosomal RNA
Rfam family: Bacterial small subunit ribosomal RNA
Source: RNAcentral
UACAGAGGGUGCGAGCGUUGUCCGGAAUCACUGGGCGUAAAGGGCGCGUAGGUGGCGCGACAAGUCAGUGGUGAAAGCUCGACGCUCAACGUCGAGUCGGCCACUGAUACUGUUGGGCUGGAGCACUGCAGAGGCUAAUGGAAUUCCGGGUGUAGCGGUGGAAUGCGUAGAGAUCCGGAAGAACACCGGUGGCGAAGGCGGUUAGCUGGGCAGUUGCUGACACUGAGGCGCGACAGCGUGGGGAGCAAACAGG